Molecule: long non-coding RNA, 1731 nt
Organism: Pezoporus occidentalis (night parrot)
Lineage: Eukaryota; Metazoa; Chordata; Aves; Psittaciformes; Psittacidae
Exons: 3
Source: RefSeq, a predicted model, not a curated record
GCAGCCCAAAGUUCUCAGUCUGUGCUGUGAGAGGCAAUCUCAUUGGUGAUGGUGCUUGGGAGAGCCCUGGCUGUGCUGCCCACCUCCACACUCACGCUGCUUCUGCAACCACAUAUCUUUGUGGCACCCCUUAACCACCUCCUCCCAUACAGUUGCCUCUUGCAAUUGUAUUCCUACCUUUCCCUGAGAGCCAUGGGCCUGUGAGAUGGCCAGCACAGUGCCAUGUGUCCCCAUCACCAUCUGGUCCAGGGACGAGGGCAAAGAAACAACUGGUGGGCUAUUGCCUCUGAGAUGGCCAAGUCACACUCAUAGAGAAUAGCUGCAUACAGAAGAAAAGACGGUGUAUAACUUCUGUGUUUGCCUUUGAGACUAGGAGUGUUAUGUAAUCAGCAAAUGCUAAUUUUUUCAUUCCGUGAUCAAGAAAGUGGCUGCUGUCAAACUCAAAACAUCUUGAAGCAAAAAUUAGCAUGAAUCCCAGCUUCUUUAUGAAACAUUUCUUCCAGAUCCAGCAAACUACUUAAUUUCCUUCCACUUUCUUUUGUUAUUCUGCUGUUGUUUACAGAACCAGCUUUUUUUAUUCAGCUCUACAAAAUGAGAGUUGUGGCUUUUUUCACAAGGGACAAUGGUUUUAAACUAAGAAAGGAGAUACUCAGUUCGGAUGUGAGGAAAAAAAAUCUUUACAAUGAGGGUGGUAAUAUACUGGAACAGGUUGCACAGAGAGGUGGUGGAAAUACCAUCUCUGGGGCCAUUGGAGGCCAGACUGGAUGUGGUUCUGGGCAACCUGUGAUAUAGCUGAAGAUGUCCCUGCUCAUUGCACCUUUGAAGGUCCCUUCCAACCCAAAUUAUUCUAUGAUUCUCUGAAGCACUCACACUAUAAGAGCUGUUGUUAAGUCUUUGGUUAGUAUGUCAAUCCAUCUGGAUCCUACCAGCCUUACCUACUCUAAUGGACAUGUAUUAUGGUUUACAGUGUAAUCAGAUGAUUUCUCAGUUGCACCUUGUAAUUUCUAGAGGAUCUCUCACAAAAAGACACACAAGGUGGCCUGGAAUAAAAUAUGACUAAUGGCACCAUAUUCUGCUCUAAGCUGCUGAGCCAAGAAAAUCUUUCAGAAUGACUAAAAGAUACAUUUCAAAGAGGAAGAACACAGAUCCUCCUUCUCAUUUUCCAUGGCUGAAAAAACCUCCAAAGAUCCUCUAAACACAGAAAGGCCCACUGUAACUUGAAUAAACACUGAUAUAGAUGAGCCUUAUUCAUAUAGAAAUUGCAAGGUAUACAGCAAAAGACAGUGUUGUAAAUGAUGAUAGAAAAUAAUUUCAUCCAUUUCAUCUUGGUUUUAGAAGUCCUAACAUUGUGGAGUGCUUACGUGUUGUUGUCUUAUGAGAGAGCCUGAGGAGUUACUGCUCUUUUGUUUGCCUGCCUCACUGCCUCAGCUCUACCAUGUACUCUGCUGUGCAUAGAUGUGGAUGAUAGCUAGUUCUGCUUUUUUGUUUCCCUUUCUCUCUUGUCUAUGUCUGCAAUAAAACGCCUGUACUGCAACAGCAAUGAAUAUGCUGAAUGGUCUAAAUGAUGUGAAGGAGGGACUCGCUUCCUUUGAUGCAAUCUUUUUCUUGGAGAUGUUUUUCAGGUGAAAUUGAGCAAGACCUGAAUGGAACUUUUUUUUUUAUUGCAGAUGAGAAAGAAGCAGCUUUCUUGAUGCAUGUGGAAGACUCCCACAGAAAUUAAUAAGGCCUUGG